This 216-nucleotide long non-coding RNA is filed under the name Elaeis guineensis (African oil palm). Its description in RNAcentral is "long non-coding RNA (EGUI_LNC009645)". Lineage: Eukaryota; Viridiplantae; Streptophyta; Magnoliopsida; Arecales; Arecaceae. The record is from RNAcentral.
GACCUAAUCUCACAUAUCUUGGGCCCAGACCUGGCCCAUAAAGAGUUGGUUCCUUGAAGCCCACAUAACCUAGACCUCAAGAAUCCGAAAGGCCCACAGCCUUUCAACCUAGGGCCCAACUAGCCCUAGAGCCUCCAUGAAGCCCUCAUGAAUGAUGGACCUUGGCCUUAGCCUUGGUCCCCUGGGCCUUGGGCACACCAUCUGGAUCACAACAAU